UAGCUAAUUUGUUAUCUAUCAUCAAUCUUACAGGCUUGCUCACGUUGAUCUUCAGAUCCUGCAAUAAGUUCAUCAGCCAAACAGCUUGACACGCAGACAAAGCACCUGUAAUGUACUCAGCUUCAUAGAUUGACAAGGCAACCACAAGUUGCUUUUUGGAGCACCAAAAAAUGAGACUUCCCAGAUACUUGAAGAAAUAUCCAGAAGUACUUCUCCUCUCAACUCUAUCCCCACACUAAUCAGAGUCUGAAUAGCAUAUCAGUUAUGAAUCAGAUUUAGCACCAGAAGGAAAUAAAACUUCAUACCUCAUAGUUCCCUUAAUAUAUCUUAGUAUCAUGAUAGCAGCUUGAUAAUGUGACCACUUUGGUUUGUUCAUAAACCUACUCACCAUUUCAAUUGCAUAACAGAUGUCAGGUCUGGUGUUACAGAGAUAUCUCAAUGAGCCAACCAAAUUUUUAAAAGUUGUAGCAUCUACAUCAUCACCAUCAACAUCAGAAUCCAACUUGUGAUUUGUUUAAGCACGUGUGAUUGCAGACUUGCAAUUUGUUAACUCAAACUCUACAAAUGUUCAAGUUCAUAUUUCAGCUGAUGCAAAAAUACACUCUUCUCAGAGUACAAAAUCUUCAUCCCAAGAAAAUAUACCAUAUUUCCUAAAUCACUCAUCUCAAACUCAUUCCACCUUUUUGAACUUGACUAUCUCAUAUCAACAACUCCCUCUGUUAGCAAUAUGUCACCAACAUAUAGACACACCAGAAUCAUAUUGCUUUCAGAGGUAUGCUAAACAUAAACGCCAUACUCCAUCUCACAUUUUCAGAAUCCUUGAAGCUUGAAAAAUGACUCAAUUUUCAGAUUCCAAGCUAUAGGAGCUUGUUUCAGUCCAUUCAAGACUUUAUGCAACUUAUACAUCAUCCCUUCCUGGUUCUUUUCCACAAAUCUAUGAGAUGCUGGACCAGACCACGCAGUAGUCUACCUUUGUAAUCCAUGUCAUUCUUUAAUCUUCUUUAGAGGUAUGACCACCGUCAGAUGUUGGAUUACCACCAAAGUCUAAAUCAUCAUCAUAAUCUGGAUCAAAAUCAGUUUCACCUUCAGAGUCAGAAUCGCCUUCAGAGUCUCCUUCAGCUUCAGAGUUACCUUCAGACUCAGACUCAUCUUCAGAGGAAAAAUCCCCUUCAGAGGCAGAUUCUCCUUUAGAAGUUAUCUCAGGUAUCAACACUGCACCAUAGUUAGAUUAAGACAUGCUUCAACCCCACACUUGUGUUUCCUUCAUAAUAACAUCUCUGUUGAAUUCAACUUUAUUACUGAUUGGAUAAGAAAACUUAUAAGCACAUGUACUGUGGUGCCCAAUCACCAACAUUAGUUUGCUUCUAUCAUCCCACUUCUUUCUAGUAGCAUCAGUAACAUGUUAGUAACAAACAUAACCAAAUAUUCUGAAAUGACUCACGUUUUCCUUCAACUUAUUGGUUGAACACCUGUUGAGCAUAUAUGUUGCAGUGGCAACAGCUUCACCCUAUAAGGUGUGAGGGAGUUUCUUCUCUUUCAGCAUGCUCCUUGUCAUAUCAGCUUCUUGGUUGGACACCUAUUGAGCAUAUAUGCUGCAGUGGCAACAACUUCACUCCACAAGGUGUGAGGGAGCUUCUUAUCUUUCAGCAUGCUCCUUAUCAUAUCAAGCAAAGUUCUAUUUCUUCUUUCAGCAAGACCAUCGUGUUGAGGAGUGUAUGAAGCAGUAACAUCAUGCUCAAUUCCAUUCUCCUCACAUUACUUCUUGAACUCUGUAGAGUUUUACUAAUCUCCACCAUCAAUUAUGAGAACUUUUGGCUUCUGACCACUAUAUUUUUCAGCCUUCACUUUGAACUUUCGGCUUCUAACCACUUUGAUUUUCAGCCUUCACUGUGUGUUUCUUUCCGCUUUUAUUGCAUCUGUUACAAUUGACACAUAAUUAUCAUUGACGAGAUCAAGAACAUAUUAAGCUCCAAAUAACACACUCAUUUGAAUCAUCCACCGAUUCCUAUUAUUUCCAUCAAAUACUAGAAGCUAUGUGUUCAAGCUACCAUUUCCAUCGUUCAUCUUUGAUCGUGUGCAAAUCACUUAAUUCUCACAAACACUCAUGUUUCCCAAUCCCGCAGAAUCAAGAAAUAUGAUUAUGUUCGAUUUCGGUCGUUAAUUCAACGUGGACUCAAGAAACGAAAUCAAUUACACACCUCACGUACCCUCGUGUUUCCCUUUCCUGAUUCAGAACCAGAGCUUUGGAUACCAAUUGCUGGUUUACAAGGUUGAAGAUGAAGAUGGAAGAAGAGAGAGAGAGAGAGAGAGAGAGAGAGAGAGAGAGAGAGAUAGAGAGAGAGAGAGAGAGAGAGAGAGAGAUAGUAGAUCUGUAACUAAAUUUCAAAAGGGAUAAUUUAGUUACACUCUCAAUAAUGAAAAAUCUGUUACAACAAACUAAACAAACACAA
Molecule: long non-coding RNA, 2450 nt
Organism: Vicia villosa (hairy vetch)
Lineage: Eukaryota; Viridiplantae; Streptophyta; Magnoliopsida; Fabales; Fabaceae
Exons: 3
Source: RefSeq, a predicted model, not a curated record